This is a long non-coding RNA of Brachypodium distachyon (stiff brome), 601 nucleotides long. RefSeq lists it as uncharacterized. The transcript has 2 exons. The record is from RefSeq and is a predicted model, not a curated record. NCBI's taxonomy places the organism in Eukaryota, Viridiplantae, Streptophyta, Magnoliopsida, Poales, Poaceae.
AAAGAAUCCAAGCCCUUAGAUUCAGCUUUUCAGACGGCUUGGCAGACAGCGACCGCGGUAGACUGCAGGUGGCGAAUCCGUCUCCGGCGGUCGGGGGCGGCUCCCUGGGGCAGGAAUGACCGGAUCGCUGGUGACUACACUAAUUGUUAAUUUUCGGUCCAGGACGAUAGGUACGGGAGAAGGGAGACCUCGCAGCAGCGAAGGGGCUGCGGCUUUCCAAUCAGAAGCUCUGCGUCACCACGGGGAUCAAGCUCGUAUGGACAGGAAGAGGCCGCUGGAAUACAUACAAGACGAAGACGAUCAAGCUGCGAGCCGAGGGAAGCAGAAGAAGGAUGAAGAGCCGUGAUGGGAGACCAAACGGAGGACGAUUGCUGCAAAAAAGACUUUUCACCUUUUGGUGCUGGAUGUUUUCCUUAUUACUGUCUUUAUGCUUAAAAACUCUGUUUAGAGCUUAAGCUCUUGUUGUGUGCGUGCUUGUUAGCCUUGAUGGCGGCAAGCGUGUUGAACAGGAUUACUCCUGCGAACCUGGGUUGUUCCGUUAUCCUCGAUAGUGGAACACGGUCAUCUGAUCGUUUAAAAAAAAAUACGCAUUCCAUCCAUC